This 492-nucleotide ribosomal RNA is filed under the name uncultured bacterium. RNAcentral describes it as "partial 16S ribosomal RNA". It matches the Rfam family "Bacterial small subunit ribosomal RNA", at positions 29 to 507 of the family's 1533-position model. The record is from RNAcentral.
AGUGAACGCUGGCGGUAGGCCUAACACAUGCAAGUCGAACGGCAGCACAGUAAGUGCUUGCUCUUACGGGUGGCGAGUGGCGGACGGGUGAGUAAUACAUCGGAAUCUACUUUUUCGUGGGUGCUAACGUAGGGAAACUUACGCUAAUACCGCAUACGACCUACGGGUGAAAGCAGGCGAUCUUCGGACCUUGCGCGAUUGAAUGAGCCGAUCUCGGAUGAGCUAGUUGGCGGGGUAAAGGCCCACCUAGGCGACGAUCCGUAGCUGGUCCGAGAGGAUGAACAGAUACACGGGAAGUGAGAAACGUUAGCGACACUUACAGGAAGACGCAGUGGAGAAUAUUAGACAAUGGGGGAGAGCCUGAUCCAGGCAUACCGCGUGGGGGAAGAAGGAGUUCGGCCUGGAAAGUCAUUUUGGUGUUAAAGAAGAGCAGCAGGUUAAUACCCCGUUAUUCUGACGGUACCCAAAGAAUAAGCACCGGCUAACUUCGUG